Molecule: ribosomal RNA, 373 nt
Filed under: uncultured organism
Description: partial 16S ribosomal RNA
Rfam family: Bacterial small subunit ribosomal RNA
Source: RNAcentral
GUAGGUGGCAAGCGUUGUCCGGAAUUAUUGGGCGUAAAGCACGCGCAGGCGAUCCUUUAAGUCUGAUGUGAAACGCCCACGGCUCAACCGUGGAGGGUCAUUGGAAACUGGGGGACUUGAGUACAGAAGAGGAAAGCGGAAUUCCAAGUGUAGCGGUGAAAUGCGUAGAGAUUUGGAGGAACACCAGUGGCGAAGGCGGCUUUCUGGUCUGUAACUGACGCUGAGGCGCGAAAGCGUGGGGAGCAAACAGGAUUAGAUACCCUGGUAGUCCACGCCGUAAACGAUGAGUGCUAAGUGUUAGGGGGUUUCCCGCCCCUUAGUGCUGCAGCUAACGCAUUAAGCACUCCGCCUGGGGAGUACGGCCGCAAGGCUG